UAGGGAAUAUUGGUAGUGGGCGAAAGCCUGAACUAGCAACGCCGCGUGUGCGAAGAAGGCCUUCGGGUUGUAAAGCACUUUUUGAGAGGAUGAGGAAGGACGGUACUCUCAGAAUAAGUCUCGGCUAACUACGUGCCAGCAGCCGCGGUAACACGUAGGAGGCGAACGUUAUCCGGAUUUACUGGGCGUAAAGCGCGUGUAGGUGGUUUGGUAAGUAGGGCGUGAAAGCUCCUGGCUCAACUGGGAGAGGCCGUUCUAAACUGCCGAACUAGAGGAUGGUAGAGGGAGGUGGAAUUCCGGGUGUAGCGGUGGAAUGCGCAGAUAUCCGGAGGAACACUAGUGGCGAAAGCGGCCUCCUGGACCAUUCCUGACACUCAGACGCGAAAGCUAGGGUAGCAAACGG
Molecule: ribosomal RNA, 403 nt
Filed under: uncultured bacterium
Lineage: Bacteria
Description: bacterial SSU rRNA
Rfam family: Bacterial small subunit ribosomal RNA
Source: RNAcentral